RNAcentral lists this small nucleolar RNA (141 nucleotides) under Ornithorhynchus anatinus (platypus). The record is from RNAcentral. Lineage: Eukaryota; Metazoa; Chordata; Mammalia; Monotremata; Ornithorhynchidae.
CCCCUUUCAGGGUUACACCUGGAGAGUUUCCAGUACUCUACCAGUACAAUAGACUAUGGGAGGGAGAGUCAAGCAGAGGCAUAUACAUUCCAUUCCUAGCUUGGGCAGUGGCUAGUGAGUGGAAGGCAAUCUGCUACAAGU